This 247-nucleotide long non-coding RNA is filed under the name Theobroma cacao (cacao). RNAcentral describes it as "long non-coding RNA (TCAC_LNC003027)". Lineage: Eukaryota; Viridiplantae; Streptophyta; Magnoliopsida; Malvales; Malvaceae. The record is from RNAcentral.
AGUUAUGAAAUGCAUAUUGAGAUGGGAUAUUUUAUUAUCUCCAUUUACUCGGCUUUAGAUACUUUAGAUGGUAUCUGUUUACUCACUAGGAUUACAAAAUCUCACCCCUUCUUCCUAUACACUUUUCAAGCUCAGGAUAGUUUGUAGAUAGUCGAGUAGGACGAGAACUAAGCUCGGAACUGCAUUAUAGAAAGUAAGAGUUCGCAGUCUUACAUCUUCUUGGUCAAUUGGGGCCCACGUGUCAUUG